GUGUCAGCCGCCGCGGUAAUACAGAGGAUGCAAGCGUUAUCCGGAAUCACUGGGCAUAAAGCGUCUGUAGGUGGUUUGGUAAGUCUGCUGUUAAAGACUGGGGCUCAACCCCAGAAAAGCAGUGGAAACUGCCAGACUUGAGUGUGGUAGAGGUAGAGGGAAUUCCUAGUGUAGCGGUGAAAUGCGUAGAUAUUAGGAAGAACACCAAUGGCGAAGGCACUCUACUGGACCAUAACUGACACUGAGAGACGACAGCUAGGGGAGCAAAUGGGAUUAGAUACCCCAGUAGUCCUAGCCGUAAACGAUGGAUACUAGAUGUUGCACGUAUUAACCCGUGCAGUAUCGUAGCUAAGGCGUUAAGUAUCCCGCCUGGGAAGUACGCUCGCAAGAGUGAAACUUAAAUGAAUUGACGGGG
This 415-nucleotide ribosomal RNA is filed under the name uncultured prokaryote. RNAcentral describes it as "bacterial SSU rRNA". It matches the Rfam family "Bacterial small subunit ribosomal RNA", at positions 505 to 918 of the family's 1533-position model. The record is from RNAcentral.